AAGCGCCCGCUGCCGCCUCGGCAGAGGCUCGUCUCCUCGCGCGGCCAUGGUUAUCCCCUCCUUCCCCCUGCCUCGCCUCCACCUCUCCCUCCAACUCCACAACCCCAGCGCCAUCCCGAGUCCCCGCCGCCGGCCGCGCCCCGCCCCGACGAGCGAGACGCUCCGCCGCCGCCUCCUCCGCAAGGGCGUCUCCCCGACCCCCAAAAUCCUCCACGCGCUCCGCAAGAAGGAGGCCCUCAAGUCCCUCCGCCGCGCCAGGAAGGACACCGCCGCCGCCGCCGCGGCCGCGGAGGCGGCCAGCAAUGCGCUGCCCAGGGAGGAGGACGGCGCCGCGGUGGUGGGCGAAGACGACGAGGCCCGCUUCCGCGCGGCCGUCGCCGAGUACCGCGCGCUCAUGGGCCGGCCGUGGCACGGCGGCGCCUCGGCACCCCCGCGUGGGGCCCUCCGAGGCGAAGGCGAGGGCCUCGACGGCCUCCGCGAGAUGCUCGCGGCGAGGAGGGCCGGCAAGUUCGAGUGGCUACUGGAGGAUGAUGACGUAGAGGAGGGUGAAGAGGAAGCGGCGGUGGGGAGGCGGGGGCGUGCUGGCGUCGGCUGGAAUUCGGAUUUUCGGGAUGAGGAGAGGAGGAUUGAGUCGCUGGUGAGGAGGCUGAACGAAGAUGAUCUAAGUAUGCGUGAUUGGAGGCUUACUAGAUUGAUGAAAAAAGCUGACCUAAUAUAUAAUGAAGAUAAUCUGCUACAAAUACUGGAAGGGCUUGAGGCAAGAGGAAAUUGGAGGCAGGCUUUAUCUGUUACUGAGUGGGUGUACAAUGAGAACAUCUACAAGCAUCGAAAAAGCAGGUUCGUGUAUACAAAAUUACUAUCAAUCCUUGGAAAAGCAUGGAGGCCAACUGAAGCACUUCGAGUUUUCACCAUCAUGCGGAGUGAUGCUCAAAUAUACCCUGAUAUGGCUGCAUACCAUAGUAUUGCUGUUACACUUGGUCGAGCUGGCCUUCUAAACGAGCUAAUCAAGAUUAUAGAGUAUAUGAGACAGAAGCCUUCGAAAAGGGUAAUGAAGAUGCGUCGCAAAGAUUGGGAUCCUUCCUUGGAGCCAGAUGUUCUGAUUUAUAACUCGGUCCUUAAUGCAUGCGUUCUAUCACAGCAGUGGAAAGGGGUAUUUUGGGUGUUUCAGCAAAUGAGAAGGAAUAGUUUGAUACCUACAGGAGCAACAUUUGGGUUAGCGAUGGAGGUCAUGCUUAAAGCCAAGAAGUAUGACUUUGUCCAAAAGUUCUUUCAGAAGAUGCAAAAAAGUGGGGUACCUCCAAGAGCAAUAACUUAUAAAGUUCUAGUAAGAGCCUACUGGGAACAAGGGAAAGUAAAUGAAGCAGUUGAAGCAGUUAAGGACAUGGAACAAAGGGGAAUUGUUGGAGCUGCAAGUGUUUAUUAUGAACUAGCUUGCUGUCUCUGCAAUAAAGGAAGGUGGAGAGAUGCUUUGUCACAGGUUGAGAAGCUAAAACAGCUUCCGCUCACUAAACCGCUAGAGUUCACAUUUACUGGCAUGAUCUUAGCCUCUUUUGAUGGUGGAUAUAUCUCAGAAUGCAUCUCAAUAUUUGAGUCAAUGGAAGGGCACUGUGCACCAAAUAUUGGUACAAUAAAUGUCAUGAUAAAAGUGUAUGGACGCUGUGAUAUGUUUGUGAAAGCAAGGGACUUAUUUGAGACCAUCAAAGUUAAUUUGCCUAGUUCAAAUCAUUCAUCACAUAAAGCAGACGCAUAUACAUACAGCUCUAUGCUUGAAGCAGCUGCAUCUGCCCAACAGUGGGAAUACUUUGAAAAUGUGUAUAGAGAGAUGACUCUCUCUCAGUACCACCUAGAUCAAAGCAAAUAUUCAUGGAUGCUCAUCAAGGCAUCCAAAGCUGGAAAGUCAUAUUUGCUGGAACAUGCACUUGAUUCAAUACUUGAAAGAGGAGAGACCCCCAAUGUACAGUUAUUUAGUGAGAUGAUAUGCCAAACUAUUGCUCAAAGAAACUAUGCAAAGACACUUCAUCUAAUAAAUAUUAUGGCUGAGGCUUCAACUGAUGUCAGUGAACUUCAGUGGAGCAAGCUACUUGAGCAAAAUAUGCAUCGAUUCAGCGUGAAUGCUUUGAAAGAUCUUUUAAAGUACCUCAGUACCAGUGAUAUCAUCAAAUCGGAUCCCGAACUUUGUUUUGUAAGUGCACUGCAAUCUCAAUGUGGGACAACUUUUGUGAACGACACUUCUUUUGUGGCUGAUGGUACAUAUACUGGACAGUCUCAACUCUCUCUGCCAGAGAAUAUAACCAAGUCUUCAAAUAGCAAUCUAGAUCAGCUUUCUUGCAUGAAUUCGCUAAACACAAAUGUAUUUCCCGAUGAGAAAGUUAGCAGUGAGUUCUCUGAUUACAUUAUGAAUACUCCACAAUCUGAUGCUAAUGCUGGCUUGAGCGAGGACAUUGUUAUAGGUUCACAUUUUGAGAGUGAACAGAAAGAACAACAUGAUCUCGGCUGGUUGGGGACAGGAGUAUCUGCAGUUGACGAAGUACUUGAUUCAAUGAAUUUGUAUGGUGAUGGUUCAUGCGGAGAGAUGCCGUCAGCAUCAGAAAUUCUUGAAUUAUGGGAGCAGGAUAGGAUAAAUGGGACGUUUUCUGCUAAAACGGCUGAACCACCAUGUGAGGAUAGGUGAUCUGGCAAGUGCUGUUUGAUGUGGCUAGUGUAAAAUUCUCACAUUAACACUAACCAAAUUGGUGAAUACGAAGAAAGCCAUGAAGUCCCAUAAGUUUGGUACAUGCAGCUCUGCAUUGCCUGAAUAUGCAAACUAGGUGGAUCUAGGUUUAUGUGAUGAGAUCAAAAGAAUCUGAUGAAAGAUCCAUUUCCAGAAAGCAAGGCCAGUGGGUUGGUAUGUAUUCUUUACCUUCAGCAAAAGUUGAUAAUGCAAGGAAUUAGCUUUCGCCUAAGAACCAGACCAAAAUAGGUUUCAUUACCAGUAGGAUCAUUUGAACAUAUUGCGCUCUGGAAAUUCUCUUCUUAUUGCCUUAGGAUUUUCAUCAAGAAGGGAGUGCUGCAGAAAUAAACCAAAGCCAAAUUUGCUUCAAAUAGAUAAAAGGAAAUAACACCAGAAGUUGAAGUGGAUGUCCAGUGACGCUGCUCCGGUGGUCCUUAUAAUCGUUUCAGUCAUACUGAUCACUAUGAACUCUGAAGGCAUCCAUGAAAUUCGGCUGUUGAACAGGUGUGAAAAUAACGUGUAACCAAACGUGGAUCGGCUGUUGUACAUGGCGUUGUGAAAACAGCAGCCAAGGGGAACGCAACCUGUCUUCUCCUUAAUUUACCGGAACAGUGUAGUCUGUUGUUUUAAUGGCCAACUGUGGAUAGUGUAACAGUUUGAGCAUCAUACUACUAGUUAUUGCACAGGAAGUAGAAUGGAUUUCUCAAGAUUUGAUCAUGUGCCCUCUAAACUUUGUAGCCUCAAAAAAUAAAUCAUGCAUGAUAUACCAGAAAGACUACAAAACACUA
This is a non-coding RNA of Oryza sativa Japonica Group (Japanese rice), 3498 nucleotides long. The record is from RefSeq and is a predicted model, not a curated record. Lineage: Eukaryota; Viridiplantae; Streptophyta; Magnoliopsida; Poales; Poaceae.